This 498-nucleotide ribosomal RNA is filed under the name uncultured bacterium. RNAcentral's name for it is "bacterial SSU rRNA". It matches the Rfam family "Bacterial small subunit ribosomal RNA", at positions 29 to 507 of the family's 1533-position model. The record is from RNAcentral.
AACGAACGCUGGCGGCGUGCCUAACACAUGCAAGUCGAACGCGAAAGUCCUUCGGGAUGAGUAAAGUGGCGCCCGGGUGAGUAACACGUAGGUGACCUGCCUUUUAGAGGGGAAUAACCAGAUGAAAAUUUGGCUAAUGCCGCAUACGAAGUACAAAUAUAAUAGUAGUACUUGAAAGGAUGCCUCUGUAUAUGCAUCCCCUAAAAGAUGGGCCUGCGGAACCUUAGCUAGUUGGUGGGGUAAAGGCCUACCCAGGCAACGAUGUUUAUCCGGUUUGAGAGGAUGAUCGGACACCCUGGAACUGAGACCCGGUCCCGACUCCUACGGGAGGCAGCCGUGGGGAAUAUUGCGCAAUGGGGGAAACCCUGACGCAGCAACGCCGCGUGAGUGAGGAAGGACUUCGGUCUGUAAAGCUCUGUUAAUGUGGAAAAAUGGUAGUUGGUUUAAUAGGCCGAUUAUUUGAUGGUACACAUAGAGGAAGCCCCGGCUAACUUCGUG